UUGCUGUUUUUUAUAGUGGGUUUUUUCUGCCCGGUGCCUCGGUGGUAAACGGCCGCGGUACUCUGACCGUGCAAAGGUAGCACAAUCACUUGCCCUUUAAUUGGGGGCUGGUAUGAAGGAAAGCAUGAGGGCUUGGCUGUCUCCUUUUUUACGGUGGAAGUUGCUGUUCCUGUGAAGAAGCAGGGGUGGAAAAGAGGGACAAGAAGACCCUAUUAAGCUUUAUCCCUUGAGUCUUUCUGUUCUUGUCUCCUGAGUAGUCUAUGGUAAGGCUUUGGGGUUUGGUUGGGGUGACUGGAAAGGAUGGUUGUAUCCUCUCUUUUUGGUUUAAACUUUGUGUUGGUUGUUGAACCAGGAUUUUUUGGUUGUGAGAAUCAGUUACUAUAGGGAUAACAGCGUGAUUCCUUCAGAGAGUUCUUAUUGAAGAAGGAGUUUGCGACCUCGAUGUUGACUUGUCGUAUCCUCUUGCUUAGGUGUAGCGGCUGGAAGGGUCAGUCUGUUCGACUGUUAAAACGGCACGUGAGUUGAGUUCAGACCGGCGUGA
RNAcentral lists this ribosomal RNA (541 nucleotides) under Lineidae sp. Pili_CB152_SMCP0281. RNAcentral describes it as "partial 16S ribosomal RNA". It matches the Rfam family "Bacterial large subunit ribosomal RNA", at positions 1833 to 2624 of the family's 2925-position model. The record is from RNAcentral. Lineage: Eukaryota; Metazoa; Nemertea; Pilidiophora; Heteronemertea; Lineidae.